UACGUAGGGGGCAAGCGUUGUCCGGAUUUAUUGGGCGUAAAGAGCGUGUAGGCGGCCUGACAGGUCUGCUGUGAAAACUCGAGGCUCAACCUCGAGAUGUCGGCGGAAACCGUCUGGCUAGAGUCCGGAAGAGGAGAGUGGAAUUCCUGGUGUAGCGGUGAAAUGCGCAGAUAUCAGGAAGAACACCUAUGGCGAAGGCAGCUCUCUGGGACGGUACUGACGCUGAGACGCGAAAGCGCGGGGAGCGAACGGG
This 253-nucleotide ribosomal RNA is filed under the name uncultured bacterium. RNAcentral describes it as "partial 16S ribosomal RNA". It matches the Rfam family "Bacterial small subunit ribosomal RNA", at positions 524 to 776 of the family's 1533-position model. The record is from RNAcentral.